RNAcentral lists this ribosomal RNA (434 nucleotides) under uncultured Lactonifactor sp. RNAcentral describes it as "partial 16S ribosomal RNA". It matches the Rfam family "Bacterial small subunit ribosomal RNA", at positions 341 to 792 of the family's 1533-position model. The record is from RNAcentral. Lineage: Bacteria; Bacillati; Bacillota; Clostridia; Eubacteriales; Clostridiaceae.
ACGGGAGGCAGCAGUGGGGAAUAUUGCACAAUGGGGGAAACCCUGAUGCAGCGACGCCGCGUGAAGGAAGAAGUAUCUCGGUAUGUAAACUUCUAUCAGCAGGGAAGAUAAUGACGGUACCUGACUAAGAAGCUCCGGCUAAAUACGUGCCAGCAGCCGCGGUAAUACGUAUGGAGCAAGCGUUAUCCGGAUUUACUGGGUGUAAAGGGAGCGUAGACGGUUUGCCAAGUCUGAUGUGAAAGGUGGGGGCUCAACCCCCAAACUGCAUUGGAAACUGGUAGACUAGAGUGUCGGAGAGGUAAGUGGAAUUCCUAGUGUAGCGGUGAAAUGCGUAGAUAUUAGGAGGAACACCAGUGGCGAAGGCGGCUUACUGGACGAUAACUGACGUUGAGGCUCGAAAGCGUGGGGAGCAAACAGGAUUAGAUACCCUGGUA